AGGAGGAACAACCCCAGUGGUGGGGCCAGCUCUGGAACCCUGGCUUCAGCCCCCACAAUAUCUAAGGAGCUCUCUGUCUUCAGGGCCUGGAGGCUCCGGGGCAGG
RNAcentral lists this microRNA precursor (105 nucleotides) under Canis lupus familiaris (dog). Its description in RNAcentral is "mir-8834 microRNA precursor family". It matches the Rfam family "mir-8834 microRNA precursor family". Lineage: Eukaryota; Metazoa; Chordata; Mammalia; Carnivora; Canidae. The record is from Rfam by way of RNAcentral. RNAcentral also lists the same sequence under 1 other name.